CUUUAAGGGAGGCCCCGGAGCCGCGGCGUCCGCGCGCGAUCCCGGAAGUGGCUGGGACUGUAGUCUGUUCUACUCCAAAAGGUUCCGCUUCCCCUGUGUGAAGGAAAACCUAAAGGCCUUUCCUUUGGAAAUACAAGAAGGCAUGGAUAAAAGGAAGCCCCGGCAUAAAUCCUGCAAAAAAAAUGGAUACAAAGCAUAAAUCUUGAAGGACCAAGAGUGACAGUUCUUUGGCUGGGGUUUCUCCUCUGCUUGGAGACUAUCAUGUUGCUCCUUUUAAAGACGUGACCUUCAUCAGCUCACUACUACUGGAGAGAGCAACACAUCUCCUUUCCCUUGGCUUGGGUUCAGACAUCCCCGUGCAGUGCCUGCCGUGCCAGGGAGCAGCUCUGAGGUGCUGAGGAGCCAGAAAGGAAAGCAGACGAGCCUGCUGUCACCAUGUGAAAUGCUUGCAGUAAGAAACCAAACAGCACAGAGCAGAGGAACCAUGUCCAGAUCUUCACAUUUGCUAUUUUAGUGCUUUGUGUUGUUCUUGACACUCCUACAGUGUUGCGAAAUUCCAAAACAGAUUGACCUGGCUUAAUUCAGUAUAUACCCAAGAAAGUCAGUGUACACCAAUUGUUAAUCUGGCAGUGCUGUCCUGGUAAGAUUACACUGGGCAGGGAAUUUAAAGCUUUAUUUUUAAGUCUAAAAUAAAAGUGCUGUGAGAAAAUGUCAUAAAUACAAUACCUAAAUUUUUCAAUAUGGUAAUCUUAAUGCUAUCACAGCAUUGAGACUGAAGGUUGAUGCUUCUGCAAUCAAUAAAAAUAUUGACAAGUCCCUUGCA
This is a long non-coding RNA of Corvus hawaiiensis (hawaiian crow), 823 nucleotides long. RefSeq lists it as uncharacterized. Lineage: Eukaryota; Metazoa; Chordata; Aves; Passeriformes; Corvidae. The transcript is spliced from 2 exons. The record is from RefSeq and is a predicted model, not a curated record.